AAUAGUCCUGUAUGUUAAACGAGAAGACUUCAGAUAUGAUCCAGAGUACCACGGGACACGUGAAACCCUGUGGGAAGCAGGAGGGACCACCCUCCAAGGCUAAAUACUACCUAGUGACCGAUAGCGUAUAGUACCGUGAGGGAAAGGUGAAAAGAACCCCGGGAGGGGAGUGAAAUAGAACCUGAAACCCUGCACUUACAAGCUGUGGAAGCACAUUUCUUGUGUGACCGCGUACUUUUUGUAGAACGGGCCAACGAGUUACGUUAAGUAGCAAGGUUAAGCACUUAAGGUGUGGAGCCGUAGCGAAAGCGAGUUUUAACUGAGCGUUCAGUUACUUGACGUAGACCCGAAACCGGGCGACCUACCCAUGAGCAGGAUGAAGCGAAAGUAAAAUUUCGUGGAGGUCCGAACCCACGAGCGUUGAAAAGCUCGGGGAUGACUUGUGGGUAGCGGUGAAAUUCCAAUCGAGCCCGGAGAUAGCUGGUUCUCCCCGAAAUAGCUUUAGGGCUAGCCUCAAGGUGAGAGAUACGGAGGUAGAGCACUGAAUGUCCUAGGGGGUAUUGCACCUACCGAAGACUAUCAAACUCCGAAUGCCGUCAUCUUAUACUUGGGAGUCAGACUGUGGGUGAUAAGAUUCAUAGUCGAAAGGGCAACAGCCCAGAUCGUCAGCUAAGGUCCCUAAAUGUAAGUUAAGUGGUAAAGGAUGUGGGAUUGCACAGACAACCAGGAUGUUGGCUUAGAAGCAGCCACUCAUUCAAAGAGUGCGUAAUAGCUCACUGGUCGAGUGAUCCUGCGCCGAAGAUUUCCGGGGCUAAAACUUACUACCGAAGCUACGGCAUCAGUAAUGAUGGGUAGGGGAGCUUCCCAUACGGGUUGAAGCAUGACCGUAAGGACAUGUGGACAGUAUGGGAGUGAGAAUGUUGGCAUGAGUAGCGAGAUGUGGGUGAGAAUCCCACAGGCCGUAAACCCAAGGUUUCCAGGGGAAGGUUCGUCCGCCCUGGGUUAGUCGGGACCUAAGCUGAGGCCGAAAGGCGUAGGUGAUGGACAACAGGUUGAUAUUCCUGUACUACCGAUAACCGUUUGAGAGAAGGGAUGACACAGUAGGAUAAGCUAAGCACACUGUUGGUUAUGUGUGCCCAAGCAUUGAGGCAGUCAAAGUAGGCAAAUCCGCUUUGAUAAUGCUGGGAUGUGAUGGGGAGCGAAAUUUAGUAGCGAAGUAGCUGAUUUCACACUGUCAAGAAAAGUCUCUAUCGAGGUUAAAGGUACCCGUACCGCAAACCGACACAGGUGGGUGAGGAGAGUAUCCUAAGGCCAGCGAGAGAACUGUUGUUAAGGAACUCGGCAAAAUGACCCCGUAACUUAGGGAUAAGGGGUGCCACCAUCAGGUGGCCGCAGAGAAUAGGCCCAAGCGACUGUUUACCAAAAACAUAGGUUUCUGCUAAGUCGCAAGACGAUGUAUAGGAGCUGACGCCUGCCCGGUGCUGGAAGGUUAAGGGGAUCUGUUAGAGCAAUCGAAGCAGUGAACUUAAGCCCCAGUAAACGGCGGCCGUAACUAUAACGGUCCUAAGGUAGCGAAAUUCCUUGUCGGGUAAGUUCCGACCCGCACGAAAGGCGUAACGAUUUGGGCACUGUCUCAACAACAGACUCGGUGAAAUUGUAAUUCCGGUGAAGAUGCCGGAUACCUGCGACAGGACGGAAAGACCCCAUGGAGCUUUACUGUAGCUUGACAUUGGGU
RNAcentral lists this ribosomal RNA (1735 nucleotides) under Clostridioides difficile. RNAcentral's name for it is "partial 23S ribosomal RNA". It matches the Rfam family "Bacterial large subunit ribosomal RNA", at positions 366 to 2122 of the family's 2925-position model. Lineage: Bacteria; Bacillati; Bacillota; Clostridia; Peptostreptococcales; Peptostreptococcaceae. The record is from RNAcentral.